AGCAGUCGCCACGGUAAUACGAAGGGUGCAAGCGUUAAUCGGAAUUACUGGGCGUAAAGCGUGCGUAGGCGGUUUGUUAAGUCUGCUGUGAAAUCCCCGGGCUCAACCUGGGAAUGGCAGUGGAUACUGGCAAGCUAGAGUGUGUCAGAGGAUGGUGGAAUUCCCGGUGUAGCGGUGAAAUGCGUAGAGAUCGGGAGGAACAUCAGUGGCGAAGGCGGCCAUCUGGGACAACACUGACGCUGAGGCACGAAAGCGUGGGGAGCAAACAGGAUUAGAUACCCCUGUAGUCCCUGUCUCUUAUAC
This 303-nucleotide ribosomal RNA is filed under the name uncultured bacterium. RNAcentral's name for it is "partial 16S ribosomal RNA". It matches the Rfam family "Bacterial small subunit ribosomal RNA", at positions 507 to 807 of the family's 1533-position model. The record is from RNAcentral.